RNAcentral lists this ribosomal RNA (421 nucleotides) under uncultured bacterium. Its description in RNAcentral is "bacterial SSU rRNA". It matches the Rfam family "Bacterial small subunit ribosomal RNA", at positions 355 to 774 of the family's 1533-position model. The record is from RNAcentral.
UAAGGAAUAUUGGUCAAUGGACGCAAGUCUGAACCAGCCAUGCCGCGUGAAGGAUGAAGGUCCUCUGGAUUGUAAACUUCUUUUGUCUGGGACGAAAACGGGAUUUUUAUCUCAAUUGACGGUACUAGAGGAAUAAGCACCGGCUAACUCCGUGCCAGCAGCCGCGGUAAUACGGAGGGUGCGAGCGUUAUCCGGAUUUACUGGGUUUAAAGGGUGCGUAGGUGGGCUUAUAAGUCAGUGGUGAAAUCUCCGAGCUUAACUUGGAAACUGCCGUUGAUACUAUAGGUCUUGAAUUAUCUGGAGGUAAGCGGAAUAUGUCAUGUAGCGGUGAAAUGCUUAGAUAUGACAUAGAACACCAAUUGCGAAGGCAGCUUACUACAUAUAAAUUGACGCUGAGGCACGAAAGCGUGGGGAUCAAACA